GAUGAACGCUGGCGGCGUGCCUAAUACAUGCAAGUCGAGCGAACGGACGAGAAGCUUGCUUCUCUGAUGUUAGCGGCGGACGGGUGAGUAACACGUGGAUAACCUACCUAUAAGACUGGGAUAACUUCGGGAAACCGGAGCUAAUACCGGAUAAUAUUUUGAACCGCAUGGUUCAAAAGUGAAAGACGGUCUUGCUGUCACUUAUAGAUGGAUCCGCGCUGCAUUAGCUAGUUGGUAAGGUAACGGCUUACCAAGGCAACGAUGCAUAGCCGACCUGAGAGGGUGAUCGGCCACACUGGAACUGAGACACGGUCCAGACUCCUACGGGAGGCAGCAGUAGGGAAUCUUCCGCAAUGGGCCAAAGCCUGACGGAGCAACGCCGCGUGAGUGAUGAAGGUCUUCGGAUCGUAAAACUCUGUUAUUAGGGAAGAACAUAUGUGUAAGUAACUGUGCACAUCUUGACGGUGCCUAAUCAGAAAGCCACGGCUAACUACGUG
This 497-nucleotide ribosomal RNA is filed under the name uncultured bacterium. Its description in RNAcentral is "partial 16S ribosomal RNA". It matches the Rfam family "Bacterial small subunit ribosomal RNA", at positions 28 to 507 of the family's 1533-position model. The record is from RNAcentral.